GCCGGCAUAGCUCAGUUGGUAGAGCAGCUGAUUUGUAAUCAGAAGGUCGUGAGUUCGAUUCUUACUGUCGGCACCA
This 76-nucleotide transfer RNA is filed under the name Rhodocyclaceae bacterium. RNAcentral's name for it is "tRNA-Thr". It matches the Rfam family "tRNA". From Rfam's summary of the family: Transfer RNA (tRNA) molecules are approximately 80 nucleotides in length. Their secondary structure includes four short double-helical elements and three loops (D, anti-codon, and T loops). Lineage: Bacteria; Pseudomonadati; Pseudomonadota; Betaproteobacteria; Rhodocyclales; Rhodocyclaceae. The record is from RNAcentral. RNAcentral also lists the same sequence under 3 other names.